AACAAUUCCAGUUUCACCAUCUCGGUACAUGUUUGAGUCCAUAUGAACUCUGAAUUGAAAUUCAUUAUAAUUGUUUUAUUUUUACAGAUUCCUAUUUUUCCAUUAAAGCCCCGACCUUUCUUGACUCCGUAUUGCUGAGGGACCUAUUCCAAGUAAAGUCACAAAUGUUCACAUCUAGACAGAAUUAAUAUUUAUUUACUGGCCUUUGGCAACUAUUAAAAAAUCAAC
This is a non-coding RNA of Pelobates cultripes (western spadefoot toad), 228 nucleotides long. The record is from the annotation of a GenBank genome assembly. NCBI's taxonomy places the organism in Eukaryota, Metazoa, Chordata, Amphibia, Anura, Pelobatidae.